GAUGAACGCUGGCGGCGUGCCUAAUACAUGCAAGUCGAGCGAACAGAUGAGAAGCUUGCUUCUCUGAUGUUAGCGGCGGACGGGUGAGUAACACGUGGGUAACCUACCUAUAAGACUGGGAUAACUCCGGGAAACCGGGGCUAAUACCGGAUAAUAUUUUGAACCGCAUGGUUCAAUAGUGAAAGACGGUUUCGGCUGUCACUUAUAGAUGGACCCGCGCCGUAUUAGCUAGUUGGUAAGGUAACGGCUUACCAAGGCGACGAUACGUAGCCGACCUGAGAGGGUGAUCGGCCACACUGGAACUGAGACACGGUCCAGACUCCUACGGGAGGCAGCAGUAGGGAAUCUUCCGCAAUGGGCGAAAGCCUGACGGAGCAACGCCGCGUGAGUGAUGAAGGUCUUCGGAUCGUAAAACUCUGUUGUUAGGGAAGAACAAAUUUGUUAGUAACUGCUACAGUCUUGACGGUAUCUUAUCAGAAAGCCACGGCUAACUACGUGCCAGCCGCCGCGGUAA
Molecule: ribosomal RNA, 514 nt
Filed under: uncultured bacterium
Lineage: Bacteria
Description: partial 16S ribosomal RNA
Rfam family: Bacterial small subunit ribosomal RNA
Source: RNAcentral